AACGAACGCUUGCUGCAUGCUUUAUACAUGCAAGUCGAACGGAGGCCCUAGCUUGCUAGGUGUCCUUAGUGGCGCACGGGUGAGUAACACGUGGGAACAUACCUCAUAGUACGGAAUAACUGCGGGAAACUGUAGCUAAUACCGUAUAUUCCAGCAAUGGGAAAGAUUUAUCGCUAUGAGAUUGGCCCGCGCAAGAUUAGUUUGUUGGUAAGGUAAUGGCUUACCAAGGCUACGAUCUUUAGCUGGUUUGAGAGGAUGAUCAGCCACACUGGGACUGAGACACGGCCCAGACUCCUACGGGAGGCAGCAGUAGGGAAUAUUGGACAAUGGGGGAAACCCUGAUCCAGCAAUGCAGCGUGAGUGACGAAGGCCUUAGGGUUGUAAAACUCUUUCAUCGGUGAGGAUAAUGACAGUAGCCGAAGAAGAAGGACCGGCUAAUUCCGUGCCAGCAGCCGCGGUAAUACGGAAGGUCCUAGCGUUGUUCGGAAUUACUGGGCGUAAAGCGCAUGUAGGCGGAACAGAAAGUUAGAAGUGAAAUCCCUGGGCUCAACCUAGGAAUUGCUUUUAAAACUUCUGUUCUGGAAUUCAGGAGAGGAAAAUGGAAUAUCCAGUGUAGAGGUGAAAUUCGUAGAUAUUGGAUGGAACACCAGUGGCGAAGGCGAUUUUCUGGACUGAUAUUGACGCUGAGNUGAG
Molecule: ribosomal RNA, 693 nt
Filed under: bacterium IMCC11629
Lineage: Bacteria
Description: bacterial SSU rRNA
Rfam family: Bacterial small subunit ribosomal RNA
Source: RNAcentral